RNAcentral lists this ribosomal RNA (253 nucleotides) under uncultured bacterium. RNAcentral's name for it is "partial 16S ribosomal RNA". It matches the Rfam family "Bacterial small subunit ribosomal RNA", at positions 524 to 776 of the family's 1533-position model. The record is from RNAcentral.
UACGAAGGGUGCAAGCGUUACUCGGAAUUACUGGGCGUAAAGCGUGCGUAGGUGGUUUGUUAAGUCUGAUGUGAAAGCCCUGGGCUCAACCUGGGAACGGCAUUGGAAACUGGCUUACUAGAGUGCGGUAGAGGGGUGUGGAAUUCCCGGUGUAGCAGUGAAAUGCGUAGAUAUCGGGAGGAACAUCUGUGGCGAAGGCGACACCCUGGACCAGCACUGACACUGAGGCACGAAAGCGUGGGGAUCAAACAGG